This 433-nucleotide ribosomal RNA is filed under the name uncultured bacterium. RNAcentral describes it as "partial 16S ribosomal RNA". It matches the Rfam family "Bacterial small subunit ribosomal RNA", at positions 29 to 507 of the family's 1533-position model. The record is from RNAcentral.
AACGAACGCUGGCGGCAGGCCUAACACAUGCAAGUCGAGCGAGACCUUCGGGUCUAGCGGCGGACGGGUGAGUAACGCGUGGGAACGUGCCCUUUUCUACGGAAUAGCCUCGGGAAACUGAGCGUAAUACCGUAUACGCCCUUUGGGGGAAAGAUUUAUCGGAGAAGGUUCGGCCCGCGUUUGAUUAGGUAGUUGGUGGGGUAAUGGCCUACCAAGCCUACGAUCCAUAGCUGGUUUGAGAGGAUGAUCAGCCACACUGGGACUGAGACACGGCCCAGACUCCUACGGGAGGCAGCAGUGGGGAAUCUUAGACAAUGGGGGCAACCCUGAUCUAGCCAUGCCGCGUGAGUGAUGAAGGCCUUAGGGUUGUAAAGCUCUUUCAGCUGGGAAGAUAAUGACGGUACCAGCAGAAGAAGCCCCGGCUAACUCCGUG